Long non-coding RNA from Aquila chrysaetos chrysaetos, 1878 nucleotides. RefSeq lists it as uncharacterized. Lineage: Eukaryota; Metazoa; Chordata; Aves; Accipitriformes; Accipitridae. The transcript is spliced from 2 exons. The record is from RefSeq and is a predicted model, not a curated record.
GCUUUGGACAAAAGUUAAAGUCAGCAACCAACAACACAUCAUGUUAGACUAAUCUAGUAAUUGUGUUUUGUAAAGUCCCGUCCCCCGUCCCCCCAUCCCUGUCCCCCCGUCCCCCCCCGAACAAAGGCAUUCUCAUCGAUCUGAAUUGAAGUCACAUAUUAUCAAGGAGGUUUUGGGAGACUUGCAUGAAUGAUUAUUCAUAAGUGCAGAAGCUGGUGUUGUAAUGUGAUAGGAAAUCCCAUUGAAAGGAGAUACUGAAAGGGCACGUUAUCAGGCUGGAAGGAGGUUACUCCUGUUGGAUCAGCCUUUGGAUUGAUGCUUUGGUACCAAGGGUGAGAGUAUGCUGAUAAAUUCUGUCAUUCAGUUGAACUGACAACAGACAUUUCCAUUUGAAGAGGAAAGAUUGUAAGUCAAAAAGCAGAAAUAUAUGUAUCUUUUUAUAUAUUUAUAGAUAAAUAAAACUUGAUCAGAAAAUAACCCUAGUAUUGCAUAGCCCAGAGAAGAGUAAAUGUGACUCUUGCAGGUAUCUAGCAAAGGGCUUCCAGGAGGGAGAUGGAAAUAUUGGUGCUUUUCUACACAGCUUUUAUGAGAGCUUUUUAGCAUUACUUUUUACACUUAUAACUGCUUGUUCAUGAUGCAUGAACUAGAACUAAAACUGAAACAGGCGUGACGCUGAGAUACUGGCAUGAUCAAAAGAAUGGAAGGCCUGUUUAAAGAGACAAAAUCAGCUUGACAUACUUUUAUAGAAAGGUUGGGAGAAUACAUACGUCACCUACAGACACACCGGGUGCAAACAUAAAAAAUGGGAGUUAUUGAAAUUGCAAGACUAUAGUAAGAAAAGAAUAAUUAGAUACAAAAAGGCUGUGGAUAUGUUAAGGGCUAAAAAUUAGAAGAUGGUGUCUUAGCCAUCAGUGGAACAAAGAGAAAAUGCAAACUUUACACUUGAUGCUUUUAUGUAGGAGGAUAGUAGUGCCCUGUGGCAAGGGAAAGGCCUUAUAACUUAAAACGAUUGCUUCCCAUGCUGUGCUUUAUGUUCAACUGCUGCAUGAAAAUUUUAAAAAUCAUUCUUUAACUAAAUGGACUUUGCAAAGGAAAAUUCCUUUGUAUCUUCCAGAGGCUUUUUCCUUCCUUGUUACUAUUUCCUAGAAGGAACCUCCUGUCUCUGUAGGGGAGUGAUGCUAAUUUUUAUGUAGGUUAGUCAACAUGUGGAAAUCACGCAGAGAACACAGGAGAGGUUGCCCGUUGUGGAAAUUGAACGAUGCCUGUCUGAUGAAAGGUCUGGAAAACAAAACUAACCUGACAUAUCUUUAAACUUUCCUGAAAAUGUUAUCAAAAAACCCCCUCAGGCUCAAGUUAUUCAACAGGUAUCUUCAGCAAAGGGGUUGUUAAAUAGCUGUAUGGAAGGCGUUGUCCCAUUAAAAGUAUGUAAAAGUGAAGUAAAAAUUUUAUUCAAAAUAAGACUCAGACUGGGGCAAGCAUGCUGCAAAGAGCAGAGGUUAUUUUCUGUUUUCUUUUCUGCAAGAGAAGGUAUUGCUUAGGGUCCCAGUCUUAAAGGUGGAGAAGAAUCCCUUGAGAAUGAUUAGUUUAAGCAAGGGAUGAAGAGCUGUGGGAAUAUCAGGAAUACCAGCUCUUCUUUGAUCCAAUGUCACUCAGUAUUUGUGUUUUGGCGUUGCAGGCUUUUUCCCAGAGAGAGAAAUAGAGUAAGAUUUACGAUGAUGAUGGAAGGCUUAAAUUCUGAGCAAUUGUUGUGAGCUUCUCCAGCAUGCAGAGAUAUGGAUGAGUGUCCAAGUUCUUACUGCGAUUGCACAUCUGAGUUUAGCACUGAAAGACACGCUCAUGUUAGGUGUAAAACUGUAGAAGAAUUUUAAAUGAGUGCAC